RNAcentral lists this long non-coding RNA (41548 nucleotides) under Solanum lycopersicum (tomato). RNAcentral's name for it is "long non-coding RNA (SLYC_LNC001218)". The stretch from base 36341 to 36412 matches the Rfam family "tRNA". The record is from RNAcentral. Lineage: Eukaryota; Viridiplantae; Streptophyta; Magnoliopsida; Solanales; Solanaceae.
CACAAACAAAUGAUGCAAAAUUUACUCUGUGCAAGAUGCGCAACAACACUAAAAAUUAUCAUCUUUAACAGUUAUUACUAGAACAGAGAACUUGUUAUUUGAAGAUAUUACAACUAUGGAAGAACCUUUACCACUGCACAUGAGGUCAACGGUUUAGGCCACAAUCUGAGUUUAGGGUUGCAUAAAGGACAAAGGGAUUGGAAAGGGAAGUAGGAAAAUAUCCAAAAAACAAUUAAUAUCACAUUAAACCGGUAUAUGGAAAAAUGACAUAGAACGUGAAUUAGUCAAACCUCCUCCAUAUGUGGUUUAGUCGAAACUGAAUGAACUUCCUUUCAUUUAAAAAAAAUAAAGUUACAUCUCCAAUCUGGUACUGAGAGCAAGUCAUUAGUUUUGAAGAUUAUUUUACUGAAAUACCUUUCUCAUUUAUUUCUUAUACAUUUUGACAAUGAGAUAAAUACUACAUUGUUUCUGAAAAUAGAAAAGAACACUAAUUGGGUAGAAUUAUUAGCUCCCCUGGUCGAAGAUAACCUUCUAUACUAUUUCUCGUUAUUUAAGCAUGAAGGAUUUGGUGCCUUAUAACUUGAAAUAUUGUAGUAGGGUUGACAUCGAAGAGGCUAGCAUUGACAUAAUAUUUUGAUACAGGAUACAACAUUUAGAAUUUUACAUACACCAUAACAAUUUGAAGACAAUGAAGGGAGUUAAAGGCAAAGGAGGUUUCCAUGGAAACUUGUGGCACACUCGAGCAGAAGUCACAAUCAUCAUAAGCUAUAGGGCCAGGUCCAUUCAGUUUUGCUAAAUUAUAGGAAACAUACAUGAAAUUCGUCCUAUGCUCAUUUCUUUCUAUGUACAAUGAGAGGAACUUGCACAUGUACUCAAAUGGAAUACCUGAUAUGUGUACAGUUUGACAUAUAUAAUAGGCAUCCGUUGGUUUGCUUUGCUGUAAUGUCUUAACACACGGUAGAGAGUUUCAGGUACAAAUUCUAGAACCAAAUUUAGAUAAAGCUCAUCCUUUUCUGUGGUCGAAAAGAAGCAGUGCUUCAGUGAAACAAUACUAGGAUGAUCAAGAAGUCGCAUAGUCUGCAAUUCCCGAUUCUUGUAUCUCUUGUCCUGCAAGACCUUUUUUAUUGCCACGGUUUCUCCUGUUUCAAGGCAUUUGGCCUGCAAUUUAGCUUUGAAAUCAAUGACAAUUGAUUUAGUGAAGGGGGUAAAGAUUCUUGAUUAUGGCAGUGAUUAUCUGUGACAAAUGAACAGCUUAUACCUGGAACACAAUUCCAAAGGAACCCUGUCCAACUACACGCUCCGCCAUGUAACUUAUGGUCUGAAUGUCAAAGAAAACAUUAGCAAAAAAGUUUUUAACACAAAGAUUACAAUCAGCAUGUAUAUUUAAAAGAACUUGCUCAGUUGAGAUUUAUUUAUUUGUAGGGUGAAGUAUGGAUGGGUCAUCACUCAAACAGUGCCGGUCUCGAAGACAUGGUAAUGAAGAGCAUUUCAAUUAUCAACCCAGGCUAGAAAUACAACAUUAUGUUGAGUAGGACCGUGUAACCUCGCCUAAUUAGCACUCAUCCCUAACUAUUAUAAGCUACAUCCUUAAUAAGACCGAGACCAAAGUGUUCGCCGACUCUUUAAAGAUACUAUCAAGUUAAAGUCAAGGAAAGUCAUCCCGGUCAUUAGACGCCCAUGUUAGGUCCAAUUCUGAACUUUACAGGGAACAAUAUUUUGUAAUUUCUAAAGUUCAGGAAAUAAGCCCUUUGUACAUCUGGAAAGCACCAUGUCAAUAUGGUAUGAGAAGAUUAACUAAGUUCAUGUCAUUAAAACUUCCCUGAAAGUAUGGAGUUGAUAUUAACGCCUGCUUCCUUUUUUGAGAGGACAAAGAAAAGAGAUUGUUAGAUUACAGCGAGAAGCUUGACUUUAUGUCUCACAUAACCAACAUAAGUCAUGUGAGACGCUGUAAUUACUUGACAAGUGCACUUGUGGUUAAAUUUGUUUGAUUAAAGAUUGAAACAGAAAAAGCAAUGCAAAGCUUUUCUAAAUUAAGCACCAAACAAAGCAAAAUUUAUCAAAGUUAUUCUGAGUUAUGAUGCAGCAGAUUAAUUUGAUAUAAGGCUUUUACAGUAAUAUAGUUCUACUUAUUCAAUGAAUUUAUUGGAAGGAAAGAAAAAACAUACAAAUUGAAUUUUGGAUAAUCCCAUGCCUAAUCAGAGAAAAGGGAAACAAAAUUAUGCAAUGGAAAAUAUACAAGCAUAAGUAGAAAAGCCAUGUAAGUUCAUACAAAGCACCGUCAACCAUAAGCAUAUUAAAGUAAGGUUGACCAGUAAUACAACUCCAUAUCCGCCAUGAAAAAGAGAAAAACAAGUGUUAUUCACGUCUACGGGUAUGCAUAUCAUGCAAUUUUUGGGUCCUAGUAGAGUGCCUUAUUUUGGAAACUUUUAUAUUACCAAAGAAAUGGUAAAAGAACAAGUCACUUGUUAAGCAAUUAAAGUGCCUCAUAGAAAACAUGGAAGUGAUGUGAAACACAAAAUAAAAUUUCUCGAUUACCAGUACCUGGCAAGUCAAAAGAAAUUGAAGAAAAAGAGGUAAUUACAAAGAUGUCCCGAACCAUUUUAGCCAAAAGUUACUUCUUGUUUAGUACGAUAGCUUAACAUCUCUAUCAGACAGUUACGAUUUGUUCUUGACUUAUUAUUAUUAGUUUCAAAAAUCAAAAAGAAUAAAAAAAAUAAAAGAGGCAAAAUACUUACCCUUCGGGGUGACCUAGUGGUUUGAGCUUGAGAUUUCCAUGUUGGAGGUCUCAAGUUCGAAACCCCUAGGCGAAAGUAAGGGUUUUUGCCUUCUAGGCCGAGCUCGUCGCACUAGGCUUGGCAAGCCUAGUGUGGGUUACCUCUCCUAUGUGGUUUGCGAGCUAUUGGGUAGGAGCAGGGGUUUUACCCUUACGCACCCAAAGGGUAGCGACUUCGGGUUUCCCUUGUAAAAAAAAAAAAAAAGAGGCAAAAUACUUGGUACUCGAGUACAAAACAUCUACUAAAUUGAUAAAGGAGGAUAAAGCAAUGACGCGAAGGAAAAUACAAGAACAGGUCUUUCUUUCAAUUGCCUAUGUUACAUCACAAGUGAAAAAGUUGCAUGUUUCAAAAAAAAAAAAUGUUACAUCACAAGUGAAAGAAAAGAUAAUAUGAAAAUCAGGAUUAUCAGACUUUCUGAUUUCCAUAGCCGGAACAAAACUGAUUGAGAAAAGAUUUGCUCAUCAGAUCCAUAAAUAAAUUACCAGCCGUAGUAUAGAUUGAGUUUUAUUUACUGAUUUCAGAACCAAAAUGAAACUAAAGCAAAGGGAUAUUUCAUGAAAUCCACGAGAUCAAUGCCAUUUAAUCUCAAACAUGAAAAUUCUUAUCCUUUGGAUAUGUUAGUAUUUGGUACAGGCACAACAAUAAAAGAUAAGUUACAAGUGUAAAAUAACAUUUUCGAGGUUGAAUCAAAUGAUUAAAAAUGUCACCUGCUUUGGCUGACCAUUUUUCCCCCCAAUAGUCGUCACAAUGAUGUGACCUGUUUCAGUUCCAUUCCCAUCCACAACAGCGGCUUCCAUUUCCUAUCAGGAUAUCACAGUGAGAAUUGCUAAGGCAGACAAGGAAAAAAGAAAUUAGAUAAAGAGUAUGCAUCCUAUUUCCAAGAACAACCUUUCCUUCUUUGUCAUCGUUGAUCUUCAUUGCAUUUAUUUCUUUAGGUAGGUUGUCAAUAAGCACAACAUCAGUAAUAGGUUUGCCAGCUGCUGAAGACAUAAUACUGCCCGAAGCCAUGUCACUGAAUAACAAAUAAACUUCCUUAUAGUACUGAUAAAUGGUUAUGACUCAAGUGACAGAUUGUCUGCUUCUCAAAACCUGAAUCACAAAGAUACAUAGUUCAAACAGGACGCCGGUGAUGCCGCACUUACAUUCACUGUUGUAUCAAAGGAGAUAAAAGAAUCCAAAAAUUGCAGUAUGUAGACAUUUAUAUAACAAGGAACAUUACUGAUCCAAGCAGGACCCCAUCCACUUGAUGUUAAGUUAACAUGUCAAAGGCGUGCUACCACUUUCUUGACAUAUUUAAUGUUCAUGUGCGCCAUAUGACCAUAUCUAUGAUGAUAAGGCAUAACUCCCACAUAUAAAGACAUGAAAUAUUAUUAGUGCUACCAAGACUCUAUUAACAUUUUGAUAGGAGAAGUGAAUAAGUCAAACAGAAGUUGUUGCAUUAAUACUGAGACAACUAUCAACAAGCAACAAACAGAAGUUUUGUGCUUGUUGCAAACAUAGAGCAGUAUGUUAUAUUUAAUUUUCAAAAGUUAAUCAUCCUGAAAUCCGGUUUCUUAGUUCAUAUACGUGAUUAAGUACUCAAAUUAAUCAAGUAAGUCUCUAGAAGAUCGCAAAAUCAGCUACCACUGUUCAAAGAACUCCUGGACGCUUAAAAAGAACUUCUAUAACAGCCUCCGAAAUUUUUUAAUUGGAAGAAAAACAUAGGUUUCAACAAAAUUGCAGCCAUCUUUUUAACAUUAAGAACCUUCAUAGGAAGCAUGCGAUCAAUUAUUCAUAUUUAUGAUUAUUGCAUAAACCAAAAGAGUACCUGCAGCGGUGAAGUGAAUUGCUCGCAUUGGCGAUGGAAAAUUGUGAGUGAAACAGCAAAACCCUAAGCGCGGAAGAAAUAAAGUGGAAGUGAAAAUGGCGUAUGGCCAAGUUUUCAGGUUCUUGGCUAUAGACUUCUGCAAUGCUGCUCUUCUUUCAUUUUUCUCACUUUGUGGAUGCUCUCAGAAUAUUGAUGGAGUUGGCGGACCCCAACUAAUUUUAUCCAUUUUCGUUGAUUGGAAGUUUGGGCGUCCGAGAUAUCUACGUGUAAGGUUCUGAUUGGUAUUUGAUAUGCUUACGUCAUUAUGUUGACUAAUACAGUGUUAAUUCUGUUCCUAGCGAAAAAAUCUGUGUGCUCUACAACUCCACGUAAGCGGAUGUUAGGAGUUUUUAUUAUUUUUUUUCUUCAAAAAAGGGAGGUGUGGCUGAUCAAAAAUUAAUGGUCAUAUCACCCUGUUUCAUCUAAAAAAAUAAUUUUUAAAGUAAAAAAAUAUAUUUAAAUUUUGUAGUUUAUUUGGACAUAAACAUAAAUUAAAGUUAUUUUUUAAAUAAUCUAAAGUGAUUCUUCAAAAUUUAAAAUUUAAUUGGAAUACAUUUUAACAUUCUCAUUAGUAUAUAAUAAAAUAUCUCAAAGAAUUGAAGAAAAUCACAUAAGGUCAAUAUUAAAAUAUAGUUAAUUCAAAUUGAAGUAAAUUAAACAAAUUAAAAAAUAAGAAGUAACUAUUAAGUUUAAUUUUCUACUAUGGUUAAUUAUAAUUACAUCAUUAAUAAAAUUUCAAAAAUAUGUGGAUAAUAAUGAGCAAGAGAUUAGCUACAAAUUAUUACGAAAAAAUUAAUUAAUAAUAACAAUAAAUACAUAAUUUUUGUAUAUUUUGCUAAUUAAGAAUAGUAACAUUUUACGUCUUCAAUUGUUUCCUGUUCACCUUGGGUGUGUUUUCUUAUUUGAGCAAACUGAAUUUGGGGGGAUUUUGGUUCUUUGGCAGCCCUUAUUUUUUAGGGCCUAAAAUCACUGCUAUAGUGGCUGAGCCGCCUUGCUCCUAAUCUCUAUAAAAACCACAGCAUGAUUGAUCAAUUAUAUUUUGAUGGGAAAACUGCCAUCACAAAACAUCAGCAGUGGCUGUGAAGGGAUAAUUUAUUGCUCACAUAUACAUUACAAGCUGUUCAUUUAGCCUGUAGUUCAUGGAUUGCCUUUCAGAGGUAUAACAAUUACCAAGAAAAGAGUUUAAAAACCAUUCUGCUGGGGAACUUAUGGAACUUCUCUUGAGUUGUUUUUCUCCACACUGAACUACAACAACCCAAGUGUUAAACGACAAACUUGGUGUUCAAUAUUUGAUCAAAUGUACUUAACAGUUCUUUUUCCAUACAAAUUUCUGUGGUAACCCUAUCAUUCCUAAACAGAGCAGUAUCAGUACAAGGAUAAACCUCAGAGGCCACACUUUUGGCUAGUUUCACAAAGCACAAGUGUCUAAAUUAAUGGCAUAUACCAAAGUUCAGCAAAAGCUGGCAAUCCCAUUUUGUGCUUCAUCAUACAAAUACUGCAUACAUCAAGUAGCAAGUGUAAAGCACAUGCAGUAAAACAAUAAGCAAAUGAAAUAAAGGUAAGGCAUCAGAAACCUGAGAAGAUUUCAUAGAUCCCAGUAAAUUCAUGAUUUGCCAAAUCCAACAGCAGCCUUCUUUAUUUUUCGUGUAUUUAUGCUUUCAGGGGUUGGCAACCCAGUCCUAUCUUCAUAUUUCUUUUCUAGCGCCUGUAAAAUCAGUUACAAAGAUGAGCAACAAAAUACUUGGUGCAACACCUGCCAGAUGUUUAUUCCAACUUUAACAAUCAUCCACUAACCACUAAUUUUUCACGAAUGGUGUCCAGGACUUCGUCAGUCAUUUUGUCAAAGAAAAGAACUCCCUGCACAUUGCUGACCUAAGUUAAAAAGAAAUGUCUUACGGGAACUAGGUCUUGUAUUUAAAGCAAAUUGUGCAUUCAUGUAAUGAAUAUUCAUCAAAGACUGCAUACACACUAUACAGUACUACAGAUAUCUGAAUUCAACCAGUAGCACUGUUAAGUAGUCUUAUAAAAAGAAUCGACCAGGGAAGACUCCUGAACUCGAGCCUAUCGGGUUCUUACUUUUUUUAUAUUACACUGCUCAGUGUCUAGUUACUGCAACUGGAAAGACAUAUAGAACAUAUUUUCUGAAUAAAAGGUAAAUGCGAAAAAAAAAAAGUAAAUGCAAUGGGAAAAUGUAUGAGCAGGAGAGCCUGCUAACCCCAAACAACAGUAAUUUUUGGGAAGGUACAGUUAAAACAGAUCCUGCAUUUAUAGAAAUGAAGAAACACCUGUAGGUGAUCAAAUUCAUGUUGGAAGACUCGUGCUGGAAGAGCAGACAAGCUUAUCUCAAACCUUGUACCAUUAAUGUCCUGUGCGUCAACCUUAACUGACUCUGGUCUCUGCAAACACACAACAUAUAUAAAUAAUCUUGUAACAAUUUAGAAAGUCAGAAAACUUCACAAUUCAAAUAGCAGAUUCAGGUUCCUAGACACUAAAGCAGUUAGCAACAAAGAUUCACCAGGUAAGCUUUUGUAAAAUGCAAACUGUUUUAGGAUUACAGUUCUACUUCAAAUACUUUUGAAUUUUUUUGGACAAGUCACCCAAAAUCCAAGCAGCUCUAUUAUGUAAGCUCUUUACCAGGUUAAUGAGCCAGAAGAAGAAUUAUGAUGUAUAAGUUGGAAGUUACUAGUUCAAUAGGGACACUUGCAAACUAGAGGAUUAGGAUGUCUUUGGCAUAAGUCCUUGAGAUGCUGUCUAUCUUACAUUCCUGAAGCACAACAACAAAAUUGACCAUUCAUAAAAAGUUAGAUACAUGUAGUCUGUAGAACUGCUGAUAUGACAUCUGUAUUUUUCCUAAAGCAAUAGAAGUUGCUGGUUUCUGUAAAAGUUCGACUAGCUCAUUGGAGCAACUUUUCCAGGAGCAAGAGACAGCAAGUCAAAUUCUUCAGAAUGGUGUAGCUACCAAUUCAACAACAUAAAUGCUAGGAAAAACCCUCAUGAGGUUGCAGAUGUGCCUUACCAUCCUUUCAGAUAUAUUCACGACUAACCUCAUGAUGUCAUGAGUUGGUACAUGGUAUCAUGCGUCCACUCCAAGCAAGUUAGGUUUGGCUAUAUAAAUUGUCAUUGGGUAUGUCACUCCAUUGAGGCUCAUCUUACACCAAUAUUAUACAAGAUAGAAAAUAAAACGUACUUGGAGCUCUCUACCAUUUCUUAAGUUUCAUUUAAGAUACAUAUAUAUAUUCAACACACAAACACUAUUUUUUAAAUAAGAAAAGUAUCAACUGCAUAGCAGAUUCUUGAGGGAUUUGGACAGAUUACGUCAAUCAUAUUUGAUCCCACUCGACCACGGGGUUCAUAUUAUCUCUCUCACAGACAGAGAGUAAGGCAGUAGAUUGACUCGCGAUCAGACAAAGAAUGGUUUACAGGUCCAAGUACCUUAACAUCACCAUGUAUCAUUGGAAAAGAUAAGCAACCUUCUUCAUAAGGUAUAAUCCUCCUAGAAUAUCUACUGACACGUGGAUUGACGAGAACAAUCUCCUCCCCCUCUCCACGUUCACCGGCUGCAUUAAAUACCAUUAGUUGAACAUUCAUUCCAACUUGUGGUGCAGACAGCCCAAUGCCAUCAGUUCUGCAUAUAUAAUAUCAAAGCCAAGCAUCCUUUAAGGUCCUCUGAAUAGCAAGCUUUUCUUAUAAACAAAAUAAAACUAAUGUAUCUAACAACUAAAACAUCAACAAUCCAUCUAUUCUUAAUUCAAUAAAUCAGUCAGUUACACCUCAAUUCCCAACUAGUCGGAUUCCACUAUUCUAAAUUUGUGUCAAAAUCCAUCUAUUCUUAAUUCAAUAAAUCAGUCAGUUACACCUCAAUUCCAAACUAGUCGGAUUCCAUUAUUCUAAAUUUGUGUCGCCAUAACUAUUUUUGUUUUAUUUUCAACAUAAUUAGACCUCCACCAAGAAUAAUCUCUUCCUAUAUCUAGGUUUGGGAUCAGUCAUGCUUUGCGAAGCUCCAAUAGAUUGAGUUAUCCAGUUUACUGAUUGAACAACUGAUUUUUGCAUUAAAAUAAGUUAUGAAAACUCAAAAGGACAAGUAGUUAUGGAUUGUAAGAAACGGAUGGACUCACUUGUACAUAAUAUCGAACAUUUCAUCAACUAACUUCUUCAAAUUAGCGUCAAAAUUGUCAAUCCUCUUAUUCUUCGCUCUUAAAAUCGGGUCUGGAUACUCCACAAUUUUCAAUGGAACCACGAAGCUCAAGUCAGCAGCUACCACACACAAAAAGAAGAAUUUCAAUCUGCGAAAAAGAAAAUUGACCACAAAUAGAUUGAUUUUUAGGUCAGAAUCUAGAAGGAUGCUUACGAGUUGCUAUUUCAUCUCCUUUGGUUUUGGAAGAUAAAACUCGCCUAGCUUGAGCAUAAACAGCUAAUUUUGGAGGUUUAUUACUGCUUGCGGAGAAAAAUAAACAGUUAGCUGAUUUAUAUCGAUGAAGACUGUAACUGAUAGGGGAGGGAGACGAGUUCCGACUGAGGAGAGGCCGGAGAAAGCGAGUGAACGAAGAAGAAGAUGCCCAACUUGCGGCAGCCAUUGCCAUUUGCCACACAACAAAACGGACAAUUUCACCUCUACAGAUGCAAAUAUUACUAAUUUUGUCCUUCGUGUAUUGUUACACUAGAAUUUUAGACCCUAGAUAAUUCUCUUUUUAAAAAAAAAAAAAUCUACUCCCUCCAUUUUAAAAAAAAAUUACUCUUUUUUUUUACAAUAUUUUAACUUUAACUUUUCACAUGAUAUUUUUAAGAUCACAAAACUAAAAAAAAUUUUAAUACAUUUAAUAUAAAUUUAAAUUAAGAUCACAAAAUUAAAAAAUUCUCUUUUUUUUUCUUGAACACUCACUCCUGAGACAAUCUUUUUGAAUUGCAAGUUUGCAACUCCAAAGAGGACAUUACUACUACAAGGUAUUGUUGAUUCUUCCUAUUGUACUGAUAAAUAAAGUGAUUAUCUUGAUGUUGUCUAUUUAGAGAAUUGCUAGAAAUAUAUUUUAAAAUUUUAUUUUUCGUUUAAUAUUAUCGAUAAAGGGAAGAAAAACAAGUAUCUUAAGAAAAAAGUGUAUAUUGAUUAUAUAAUAUUACAUUGGACCUUGCAAUAUAAAAUAUAAGAAUUAAAACACGUAAUAUGAAAAUAAAAUAUAUAUUUAUAAGAAAUCAUGACGUCAUUCAAUGUUUGCAAAAAAAAAUUUGGGGUGAGUUUCGGAACGGGGUUUACUAAAAAAGCUUUGGAGUGUAAAUUUGAAGGCAUUAAUUCAUAAAGCAUAAAUUUUAAAAUGUGAGGUGUAAGUCUCGAGAAUAAAAACGUAAGUACAGACAUUUUUUUUUUUAAUUUUUUUUACUUUAAAUCGUAUUUUUUUUAACUGUUGGUGUAAUGAUAUUUCUCAAACAGUGAUUAUAAUACUUUUUUCUUCAUUAUUAAUUAUUAAUACUUAUCUCAAAUGAAAUGCAUAAUACAAUUUCUAUAUAUUAUAGGUUAUUUGUAAAAUCAUUCAAAAUUUGCUUUUGCUUAUUUUAUUAGGGGAUAAGGCACAAGUAUCCCUUUAAUCUAUGUCCAAAAUUUCAGAAACACACUUAUACUAUAUUAAGGUCCUAUUAUCCUGAACUUAUUUUAUAAAUAAAUUUCUACCUCUUUUCGUCUUAUGUGGCACUAUCUUGUGGGCCCAAUGUGUGUUGACAUUUUUUUUCAAACUAAUGCCGAAAAGGGGUAGAAAAUUAUUUGUAAAAUAAGUUUAGGGGCUAUAGGAAUUAAGUAUAGUAUAAGUGUGUCUCUGAGAUUUCAGGCAUAGGUUAUGCAUUUUCCCUUUUAUUAGUAAUAAAACUACAAAAUUGAAUAUAUAUGAAACCCCGUAGAUUCAUGAGACUUACGCCCCCGUGUCUCGGCGCAUAUACCUAGCUCAACUGUAUAAAAUGUCUCGUCUCACGCUCCUACCUUUUAAAUACUUGUCAUUAGUAAUUUGAUGUGUUACUUAUCUACAUGAUUAUACAAAAAAUUACAAGAAGCGACAAAAUAUUUAAUUUUUUAGAAAACAUAUGCAUAGUUAUUAUAGCACAACUAUAAAAUAAUUUUUAUUAUAUCUAUGCACUUUUUUUUUAUACAACAUACUCUUUUUUUUAAAAAAGAAAAAAAAGGAUGAGGUACUCCUCGUCAUAUAAGCUUACAAAAAAUUCUAGAAUAUAUAAUUAGAGGUAAUCAAAUAAAAUUUAACUAGGUCGAAUAUAAAGUUAUCCUUCUUCACUCGAAUUUUAAUAUUGGGCUUACUAACUAUAUCAUUAUUCAAGGUGGAAGUAACCUUAGAAGGAAAGUUUAUGGCCUCGGUGAAGAAGGCCAUAACUGUACACAUGAAUGAUUAUAGUAACACCAAUGAUUCUAGAAAUAGGAAUUUCAACACCUUCAUGUUUGAAAUUGCACCUAUAACUGUACACAUGAAUCAUUCUUUUCGAUAAAUAAUUUUUAAUUAUUAAUUAAAAAAUAAAAAAUAACUAAAAAGAUGACUUAUUUAUGUAUUUUGUUAAUUGAUUUCUAAUAUAAUAGAUCAUGUCAUAUAUUUUAGAGACAAUAAUAUAUUAAUUAAAAAUCAAUAAAUAGAUAUACACAAAAAUAAAAGUAUGAUGUUUUUAUCUUCAUUCAUUCGCAUAAUAAUAACAACAAUAAUAUAAUAAUAAUAAUAAUAAUAAAUUUAAUUAACAAAAAAUGCUUAAUUGAACUUUUUAUUAUAUUGGUUAAUAGAGUUUCAUAACUUCAUUUCUGCUUAAUUGAACUUUUUAUUAACAUUUGAUUGAGAAUGUGUUAUUUCUGAAAAAAUACUAGCUUAUAAGCAUGAAAAAAAUAAAAGCUAGAGAAAAGAAAAUUUUUACUUUAAUAUUGAUAAAAAUAAUUUUGAAAUUGACUAACCAAAUACAAAAUACAAAAUGUUAAUUUUCAAAAAGAACUAAAAAGCAAAAAAAUAUUUAUGACCAAAGAUACUAGCAAAUUUUGAAAGUGGGUGUAACAAACUUUAAAGUUGAACCACUUUAAAAAUCCUUUCCAUUUUUGGUAAGUGGUACUGGCAGCAAGUCUCUUGAGAAGUCAUAGUCAUAGUAGAUACAUAGAAGAUUGAUUAAUAGUGCCCUUGGAGUAUUAUGAAUUAGGUAUAAUCAUUUGUCAUCCAUAACAUUUUUCUUUAAAAAAAAAAAUUUAUCAAAGAAAGACAACAAGGGGACAAAAUAAUAAAAAUACUUCAAAUUUGAAAAGUAUGGUUUACACUAAAUUAAUGAAUCUUUAAAACAAGACUAAUUCCUAACAAAUCUCACAUCUAAAUGGUGCUCCUUUUGGAUAAUGCAAGCAUUAUUAACCACUCAUUUAUCCUAGGUAUUAAUGGACUUGUCUUCAUAAUUAUUUUAUUCCCAAAUAUAUAAAGCUUGACACUUCAUAUUAAAAAGUUAUUUGGUAGUAAUAUUACUCUCAACUUAAUUUUUUUUAUUCUUUUUGUGAUCAUAAAUGAAUGAUAUUUUUGUAGGGAUAUACAAAUAUUAAUUGGACAUAAACCAAAUUUAUAGACGUAAAUUGACAGCUUAUUUUAAAUUGCUUUUUAAAAGAAGAUUGACAAUAUACAUGAUUACAUUUUUAGAUUAGAAUCCAAGGGAAAAGGAGAAAAUAGAAAAAGAGAAAUAGAUGUGGGAAUAAAGCAGUAAAAAGUGGGUAAAGGUCCGUGAAAAACUGACACGUGGCCCAUAAACUGUGUUGCCACUUUUUUCAACUAACCAUAACAUAAUUUUUAACUAAAAUUCUAUAUUUAUAUUAAAACAUUCACGUGAUAUAUACUCGCUCCGUUAAAAAAAAAACUUCUCAAUUUUAUAAUUAUGUCAAAAUAUUUUAUAAUAUUGUGAUUUUAAAUAUAUCGUACAAAAAGAUGAAAUUAUGGUAUUUAAAAAAGGGAAAAAAGUAAUUUUUUUAAUUAAAUAAAUAUAAAAGAUGAUCAUUAUUUUUUACACGAAAAAAGCAACUUUCCUUAUUUAUUUAUUUUCUCUAUAAACUAAUUUCGUAAAUCAACUUAAAAUCUUAUUUAUUUAUUUUCUCUAUCUCAAAUUAUCUGUUGUGAUUUUUUUUACAAGAUAUCUUUAAAAUAUUCAUUCUAUCCUUAAUUAUUUGUCUAUCUUGACAAAUAAAAAAAAGAACAUUUUUUUUCUAAUAUACCUUCAAUUUAUUGCUUAGAAAAAAAAAUAAAACUUUUUGAAAAUCUAAAUUUUUAAUUCAUUCAAUUCAUAAUUAAUAAGAUAAGAUAGUAAACCCACUAUAUUAAUCAUUAUUCUUUUAAUAGGUGUGUCAAUUUAAAAAUAAACAAAUAAUUAACCACAAAAAAGUAUCAAUUAGGAGAUUUGCUUUUUUAAAAAAAUAAAAUAAAAUUAUAGUAACUGUUUUACUAUAUUUCGUAUGUACUCCUCGUGUCUUCGAUUUUACAUUCGAUGGCCUUUUUAAGGUAUUUGUACUUCUCUCUAGGACAAUAAAAAUAGCAUUAAUUAAGGUUUUGGUCAUAUUGGCAAUCAGUUUAUGUUUACUUCACAAGGUGGUUAUGGUUAAAGACCGUUAAAAUGGGAGUAUAUUAGAUUGGUAAAUAUGUAUAAGUAAUUAAUAAUAUGAUAAAAAGUAAAUUAGCUAGCAUGAUAUUCAAUGUUAAAUUUGACUAAAAGUACAUAUUUUUUCUCCCCAAUCCAUGUAUACACAAAAUAAUAAAUAAUCAAACGUAAAUUUAAAAUUUGAAAAAAAUGUUAUAUUAUACGAUACGUAAUUAUAAAAAAGCUUAAUUUUUCCCUAAAUGCUAUGUUUGGAUGAUUUGUGCGUAUCAUAAACGAUCCGCCACGAUCAUCUAUCGUUUUAAUUUAAAUUCUAAUAUAAAUUAUCCAAAUACUCGAUUGACCCACAGUAAAUACUCUACAAAACAUGUAAUUCACAUUUCAACACCAUUUUCACAUUUCUUUUUAUGUUGGUCUACUUCCAUUUAGACUGAUUGGGAUUUAGAUGUAAUUUCAGAAGGAUUCAAUUCACAAAAUGGUUAUGAAAUGAUUUUCUUGUGGUGGUUGAAAUUAAUUAUAUGGCAGUGUUCAAUGAAGCAAUAAUUAUUGUUCAAAUACGCCACAGGAUUGACUGUUUUAAUAGUAUUUUGAUUAUAAGGUCGAUAUUGACUUUAAGACAUUUAAGUAUCUUAUGAUGGACGCAAAAAAGGUCAAAUCGUAAAUCCAAAAAGUUCUUCUAGUACUUUAGCAAUAUUCACGUAACGCAAAGCAAACACAAAAAUUAUAUUUAUUGAUCUAAUUAUAAUUUAGAUAGUUGCGCUUCAUAACAAAUAUAAAUAUGUAUAUUUCGCUAUACAUAUAUAAAAGAAAGCAAUUAAAUAAUUUUGAUACACAUGUAUAAAGACAACAAUUAUAUAAUCUGCUUUGGUAUACCUAUACAAAAAGAUCAAUAGUAUACUCCAUAUUUGUAUAAACCGAAAAGAGAGAAAAACAAAAGAAAACUGGUUACGAAAAAAAUCAUAUUUGUAUAAUCAUAAAUGUAUAAGACGAAAAUAUAUGAAUUUGUAUUUGUAUGUACUAUUUUCUCUCGCUUUAUACAAACACAAACGCAAUAUAUACAUUUGUGUUUUUAUAAAGUGAGAGAGGUGAGUGAGCGAACGAGAUCUGGAAGAGGGUAGAGAGGGAAACGAAAAUAUAUGUAUAUAUAUACAAUUUUCUCUCAUUUUAUACAAACACAAACGCAUUUUAUAUAUGAUUUGCAUUUUUGUAUUAAGUGAACGAGGCGAGUGAGUGUGGGCGAGCGAGAUCUAAGAGAGGGGAACAAAAAUAUAUGUAUAUAUAUAAUUUUCACUCGUUUUAUACAAAUACAAACGCAUUUAAUACCGUUGCUUUCGUAUAAAAGCGAGAGAGCCGAGGAAGAGAACUAGAGUGGUGGGUGAGAAUCACUAGGAGAGAAGCAAAAUAACAACAGUUUGUUAUGAAAUAUAAUUAAAUCAAACUAUAUUUAUAGCAUUUAAUUUGAAUUAUAAUAUAUAUAUAUAUAUAUAUAUACACAUACUUUAUACUUCUUUAUGACCAAAUUUUAUUUAUAUUAUAUAGAGUAAAAUAAAUAUACUUUAGAACUAGUGCUAACAUAUUAUCUGCCUUUUUUGUAAGAAUAAAAUAAAAUAAAAUUCUAUUUUAAUUUAAGUGAGUUACUCGUCCUCCUUUUUUUGGGAUAUGACAAUAUAGAUAUGUCUUAAUUACUCUUGCGUUAUAGAAGUAAUUAAGAAAACUCUCUAAAAGAUCACUAGCUAAAAUCGAACAGUUUAAAGCAAGUUUGAAAAAGAAAAUGUAUCGAAGAAAAGAAUAACAUUAAUCCAUGCUAACAAGAUAUCAAGCAUAAUAUAAAAGAAGAGUGAUACCAAAGUAAAAGAGGUAACAUGAGAUACAUGGAUCGGACAUAAAACAUUUGUUAUAAGAGAAUAUUUCUAUUAAUAAAAUAAUUAUGCUAAAGUAGGAAACUAAAUAUACUCGACAAUCUCUCAACUUAUAUCUUAAUUUUAGAUCUUCAUCACACUUUCAACAAGUCAAAGAAGUAUCAUAUCUUAUUUAAUCACCGAUCUUCAGUUCUCAAUUUUUUUUCAGUCCGGCUCUUCCUCCGUGCAAACCUGCAUAGCCAAGUUCUUGCACCUCCUAAUUCAUGCAUUAUACAUUUCUAUUCACAUGUCCGAAUUAUCUACCUUGUUUCCUCAGCUUGUCUAACACACAGAUCGAGGUCAUUCUACCUUAUUUCGAAUGUCUUCGUUUUUAAUAUUAUCUCUCCUAGUAUGUACACACAUACAUCUGAACAUCUUCACCCACAUUUUUUAAAAAUACAUCUUUCUAUAUUUGUUGAUCCUAACUUUCUAUUUGAUACAUUUAAAACCAUUAAUAAAUUUAAAUGACAGUUUGAUACGUGUACUUGGUACGUUGGCAUCUAAUUAAUUUAAAAUCACAAAAUUAAAAAUUAUCACUUAUUCUCUUAAACCCUAAAUAAUCAACAUCAAGCUUUUAUUUUAGAUAAUUACAUGUAUAAAUAUACUUAUAAGUGACUGGAAAAAAAAUAUUUCAUUAAUUAUUCAAGGAGCUAGGAAUAUGAUUAGAGCAAGAUUACCAAAAUUAGGCUUCGAUACAAAACUAAUAAACGUAACUAGCUGGUCUUGAAGUUCAAUUUAAUGUGCAUAAUUAAUUUCAAAAUUCCAGGAUGCAUUAUGCGUGUCUGUACAUUGAACUAGGAGGAGUAUGAUAGUUCAAACUAAUUAAAGGGAAUCACAUGUAAUUAACAUGCUCCUUUUGCCUAACUUCUCUAUUUAACUUUAAUUUUGCACGAUUCUCUUUAAUUUAAUUAAUUUCUUAACGAGGAAGAGGAUUCUUACUUGGAUACGAAUUAGUAACGGCAAAAUUAACUCAUAUUUUGGUAACCCGCCCAAUUCACUCAUUUAUUAAUAGCUUGGGUGAUUGAUUUUUUUGGAUGGGUAAAAUAUGAAUACAUACCCGUAUUUAAUCCAUAAAAAUAUGAAUAUUCAUGGGUUAGCCUAAUGGAUUUAACUCUCAACUUUUAUUCACCCAAAAUUUAUAAUAUCUGUAAAAAUGUUGUAAAAUAAUGUCUCUCUCUCUCAUUUUUUUUUUUAAUUUCAAUGUUCUUAUUAUUCUUCUCUAUAACUGAAGAGGUAAAAGUCCAAAAAAGUAUAUACUAUAUUACAUGUAAAGUAAGUGAAUCAUGUAUUAGUAUUGAUAUUGUGUAAAGUUCAUCAAGCACUCUUUUACGUCUAAAAUGGAAAUGUUCAUUCGCUUUAAAUUAAAAAUAUUUUUCCUUGUUAUUACAUAAAUUUAUUUUAUAUCUAAAAGUUAUAUGAUUUUUUUGUUGACUUUGAUUAUACAAUAAAACUAAAUAAAGUAUUUUUAACUUUAUUCAUCUAAGAAAAAAAACAUUUUAUCCAUGUUUAAUUCUAAAAUAAAGUAAUUUACUCAUGAAAAUAUGAAUAGACUUGUAUUUUACCCAAUCUAUUUGUUAUUCAACUCAUUUUCACCCAUAUAAAAAUAGGCGGGUUGAAUUAUUAUCCAUUUUAUAUUGAUUCAUUUUCAAUCUGUCCAAUUAAUCCAACCCAUUUAUUUACCACCAUUAAUACGAGCCAACAAUAAUAACAUAUUCAAUAUAAUUUCAUCACUGAAUUUGAAGAGAAUUGUGUUUAGGCAGACUUUUAUUUUUAUUUUGCAAAGGUAGAGACAAACCCAUAAACCAAUUUUUUCUCUUUGGCUAUAUAUAUUAUUAUUAUUACUACUACUACUACUACUAUUAUUAUUAUUAUUAUUAUUAUUAUUAUUAUUAUUAUUAUUAUUAUUAUAUGGAAAAAGCUAUUAUAUAUGUGAAUACGUCCGGUAGAUGUGCAAUUUGCGUGCGGCAUGUACGUCGUGCAAUAGUUUCAUUAAUUCAGAUAUUAGUAUAUAAAUCUAUUGAAUUUAAUUAACCUUUAUAUGGACUAAUUUAAUCACAAGUUAAUAAACCGUAGCAAAUAUUAAUUAGUAAAUAUAACAUAGUGUUAAAGUUCUAUGCAUAGAUAUAGAGAUCACCAUCGAUAUAUAAAAGGUCAACUUUCACAUAUUGCAAAUAAAAAAUUCAUAUUUGUAUGCUAUAGCAAAGUUUGCAUAAUUGCGCUCCAUAGCAAACACAAAACUUUAUAAUUCGCUAUAUAUAUUCAAUUGUAUAAUUCGCUGGCCUAAAUUAUAUAAUUCGCUGGCCUAUUUUCGUUGCAAUUGUAUAAUUCGCUAUCCUAUUUCACUACAAUUGUAUAAUGCACAAUUGUAUAAUUCGCUGCCUAUUUCGCUGCAAUAUUUUUAUAAAAUUUACUUUGCAUACAAUUGAAUCGAAUUAAAAUAUAUGUAUAUUGCAUAAUUAUAAGUGUAUAGCAAGAAAAUAUAUGUUUUUCUCUCGCUUUAUACAAAAACAGAAACACAAUAUAUACACUUCUGUUGUAUAAAGCUAGAGAAAAUUGUAUUUCACUGCAAUUGUAUAAUUCGUUGACCUUUUUCUCUGCAAUAUUUGUAAAAUUUGCAUUUGUCUACAAUUGAAUUGAAGUAUAUGUUUUUGCAUGUGUAUAUACAAUUUUCUCUCGCUUUAUACAAAACAGAAACAUAAAUUAUACACUUCUGUGUAUAAAGCGAGAGAGGCGAGCAGAGGGAGAGUGACGAGCGAGAAUGGGAGAGUGACGAGUGAGAUUUUUGGGAGAGAGGCGCCUGGCAAAUUUUGGCUAACGUUUGCUAUGGAGCACAAUUAAAUCAAACUCUAGCUACUCCAUUUAUUUUAGAUUAUUAGUUUGGUAUUAUAUACAAUUUUCCCUAUAUAAAAAUAUUGUGCGAUUAAAUAACUAAAAGGUACAUAUAAAGUUUUAUACAUUGAAAAUACGUAAAAUAUAUACAAAAUAAUUCAUUGAUAAUGUAAAAAAAAGUUACACUUCAAUUUAAAUCUAAUGUGAAAUUAUUGGGGUUUCUAUGCAUAAAUAGCUAGUUUCCUUGUUUACUUAUUAAAAGCAACACUAAUAUUAUACACUUUAAAUAAAUUUAACUGUCAGCGUAUAUAAUUGAUCAAAUCGAACUAAUUAAUUAGUAAGCACUAGCUCGUUGUGACCAUGCACGCACACAUCGUUGGCUGUUAUUUAUGCUCGUCAAUUAACGAUAACGACGAUUAAGUAUAAGUAAGAACUUUAUAGUAUAUAAAUUAUUUAGCGCAAGUUAGGUUAAAAGUUAAAAGACUUAAUUACUGUUUUAAAAUCUCAUUUUAGUUGUCCCCUAUAAAUAUCAGCCCCAACUAACGUUAGUUCCUCGUCAAAAUCUCCAACUACAAAAAAAAAAAAAACUUUUUUCUUCACAUCCCAUUCCUCUUCUCUUCUUUAUUAUAUAAAAAAAAUGGAUAAAAGAACAUGUGAUUCUCAAGAUGUUGAAGUUAGGAAAGGUCCUUGGACUAUGGAAGAAGAUUUGAUUCUCAUCAAUUACAUUGCUAAUCAUGGUGAAGGUGUUUGGAAUUCCCUCGCUCGAUCCGCUGGUACUAAUUGAUCGUCAUGUUUAGAUUGGGGCUUAAUUAUGUUGUAUAUAUUUAAUUUUUUUCGUGUGUAAUAGGUUUGAAGCGUACUGGAAAAAGUUGUAGACUUAGAUGGCUUAAUUAUCUCCGACCUGAUGUUCGGAGGGGAAAUAUUACACCGGAGGAACAAUUGUUGAUCAUGGAACUACAUGCCAAGUGGGGAAACCGGUGAGUUGAUUUCUUUUUCUAGCUAGGGUUUUGAUAAUUAAAUAAAAUGAUGAAAUUAUAUAAAAGAAAAUUUGGAAAAUUGUAGAAAUUUCUCCUUCAUUUUUUUAAAAAUGAAAAAUAAAAAAAAUCUCCCAUGUGUUUGUAUGUGUUGGAUGGAUAAAGAGGAAUUGUCCCAAAAUCUCUUAGAACUAGAUUUGACAUCAUGAAAGAGAGUGAUGGGGAAUUUACAACGUGUUUAAUGUAACCUAAAGUUUGGAUUUUUUAUUUAUUUAUGAUUUCUUAUUGGGUGUCAAAAGUAUUCUUCUUAAUAAUUAAUUUUUUUUAUUGAGGAUUAACUCAUUUUCCCUUCUUUUCUUCCCUAAAAUUUGUUGAAAUCCUUAGUUUUUUUCCAUUCAAAAAUUAAUCCGAUCAUAAUAUCAAAUUUAUAAUGAAUAGACCUAAUCUUCUAUUACUCCUAUCAUUUUUUAUCUUACUUUUAUUUUUAAUUUGUUUCAAAAAGUCUCUGUUAUUGUUAUUUUUUUAACAAAAUUUUAAUUCUAAAUUUUCGUAUGAUAUUUUUAAGAUCACAAUAUUUUAAUAUAUUACACAUGUCUUUAGUUUAUAAUACAUAAUUCAAAAAAAAAAUCUUAAAGUAACAUAUUUAAACAAAAUCAAAGAAAGAAAAAUUAAAACGGAUAGGGUAUUUUUGUCCCAACAUAAUUAUUAUUUUUUUGUUUUACGGCUUUGAUUUGACAGUCGAAAAAUCUUUAAGCUUAAUCAUGUAAAGUAUAUUCUAUCCAUAUUAAUUAACAUGCACAAAUUACAAAAUUAAAACAUGUCACCCCUACAUUAAAUUUUGUCAAUUUAUUAUUCUCUCUUCCUAUAGAUAUAGGUAAAAUAAAAAAAUAUAGGUCCUCAUUCAGCCACCAUAAUUAGUAAAGCAAGGACAAUUGUUCGACAGGAAUUUGGCCUUCCAUUAUUACCAUUGAAUAUGACAUAUGAAUUUAAGUUUUUGAACUUUUGCUUUUUGAGUUUUUCAAAUAUGUUAUAAUAUCUCCUUAAUAUAUAUGCACUUUACACAUGUGUAAAAAACAAAAAUUAUUUAUUUUUUCAUAUUAUCAAUAUAUAUAAAAAAUUUAAAAAAUAAUUACGGUCUCGGUUCUAUCAAAUGAAAAAUGAUAAGAAGCAAAGGCUUGCAAAUAGCUUUGAUUGAAGUAGACGGAUAACUUAUUGUUUUGGUUCAUCACAAAAAACAAGGGGUCCUUCUUGUACCUUAGAUGUUUUUAGUGUAUAUCGAAAAUAAUAUUUGAAAUAGAAAAAAAUUCGUAAAAAUUAUGUUUGAUACGGAGAAAGUCAUUUUCCAAGUAAGUAUUAGAAAGUCAUUUGCUGGUAUGCAUGUAUUUAACUGUUAAAAGGGGAUUUUUUUUCUUUCAAAAACCUCUCUUUAUAAUCCAAUUUUUUUCAUAAUUUUAGGAUCGAGAAUAUGAGGUAAUUAUCAUUUGAGCAACUCUCGGUUAUCCCUCUCUAUAUAUAGCAAAACAUUGAAACUGGUUAAAAUCACUUCCCCUUGAGGAUAGUUUAAGUUAUGUAUAUAUAAAUUAAGUUUGAUAUGAUAACUCACAAAUAGAAAGAAUAACCUUUUACAAUCAAUUAAAUUGAGCUGAUAAUGUAAAAUAUCGGUAUAUAUAACUGAAAUAUGCAUGUAUACAAGCAGUGGGACUUCAAAUAUCAGCCACAGAACAUGUAUACAACCUCGAUUCUUUACCAAAAAUUAAACGUGACUUAAAAGUUUAAUUUCAAUAUAAUCUGAAAUAAGUAGUUUUCAUUCAUUUCAUAUUUAGUGUCUUAAUUUCACUAUACACAAAGGUUAAAGAAUGAAAAGAAGAUAAUCUGUGAUCUUAAAUAUAAUUAAUAAUGUAUAUUUUAAAUUUUAUUAUCUUAAAUUUAUCAGGAAAAAUAUUGAAAUUGAAAUACUUAUUAAAUAUAUAUAUAAAAAACCACUCUUCUUGUGAUAAACUCAAAAAAUAAAAUAAGAAACGUAAUUGGAAAUGAAAGAAGUAUAUUUUAAACUAAAAUGUUAUAUAUAACAUGUAAUUUGCCUAUUUUUUUCAGGUGGAUACUAUGAAUUCUUUUAAAAGGUUAUAAUAUAGACAUAAAAUUCCAAUAAAAUUAAUUAUUAUGAUAUACAGGUGGUCGAAAAUUGCAAAACAUUUACCUGGUAGAACAGAUAAUGAGAUAAAGAACUUAUGGAGGACAAGAAUUCAAAAGCACAUUAAGCAAGCAGAAAACAUAAACAGAUUAUCAUCAAAUAUUUCGGAGAACAACAAUAUUCAACAAGCAAGUACAAGCCAAACAUCUACUAGUCUUGCAGAUUCAAUGGAAACUUACUCUGGAAAUAAUAACAACAACAACAACAACAAUAAUAAUAAUAAUAUGGGAACCACUUUUCAUCAUCAGGGCAAUUUUCCAAAUGAAAAUAUUUGGAGCAUGGAGGACCUUUGGUCCAUGCAAUUGCUUAAUGAUGCAAACAACUAAUUAAUAAUUAUCAAUUAAUUAAUUAAUUAAGCUUCUAGCUAGCUACCUACUAUAUGUUAAGUGUUAAGAAUUCCCAAUUAUAUUCCCAUAUCUAUAUGCUUCUUGGUGAUCAGUCUCUGUGUAAUACAAGUUUAAACUUUUAUAACUAUACUUAUAUAUACUAAUGGAAUGUACAUAAUUUUUUUUUAUCUUAAUAGAAUAUUCUAGAAAGGUAUCAAGCUUUAGCUUGCAUGCAAUGCAUGAUUUAUGAAGACAGAUGAUUCUAGAAACAGAGAAAAUAUAAUAAUCCGAUUAAAUAGUAUCGAACUCUAAUCUCUCUGUUUUAGUUAAUUUACGUGAUACGGUUUAAUUUUUCAAAAAAAAAAAAAACUGAAAUUUCAGUGAUUAUUUGUACAACUAUAAAUCAUUUUCUAUAAGUAAUUAAAGAGAGAAAAUUUAAAAUUAAAUUAUUUUUUAUUAUAAAAGUAUAAUAUUAUUUUUAAAUAAAAUACAAUAUGACUCAUUAAUAUAUACGGCUGCCCAACAAAAAUUAUACCGAACUAAAUCCAUAAGAAAUCGACAUGUGGAAAGGCAAUAUAACUAUUUUGAGGAAAUUAAAAUUUUGCUUUUCAAUAAGUUAACUAUUUCUGUGCAUGGCGUUGCAUGUAUAAAAUUCGACGUGAGCCUAACUCUUUAAUUACUCUUGAGAAGUCUCCACAUGCUCCCUAGCACUUCACAUCAACCUUUUCUCAUCAUAAGUAUUAACUAGUCGGGAUUUUAAUAACUCAGUUAAUUAAAUUUUUUAUUCUAUUAAUUACUCAAUAUUUGAUGUUUUAUCUUGUAAUAUUUUCUCUUAAUAAAAUAAACAGAAAUGAUAAAUGAUACAUUUUCCCUACUUAUCAAAAUUAUACUCGAUGUUUAUUCAUAAGUUUAGCUUAUUUACGCACAAUAUAAGGAUUAAAAUAGCCCAGUUAUGCAAAAUAACAAAUAAAUUUUCACCUUUAAUUUUGAAUUAUAACACAUGAUUGCGUCAUCCAAAUAUGUACUUGAAAAAAAUAGAAAGAAUAAGUAAUAGAGAGGAUAUUCAUCCGGUUAGGCACUUUAUUAAUUUUACAAUAUACUUGGGAGUACUUAUUUUGCAAGGAUAUUCAACGUCAUUAGAUGUUCAAGAAUUGGUUGUUUAUUAACAAUUAACAAUAAUCAGUAUUUCCGCUAAGAAGAGUAAUAUAUAUGAAAGAGUCCUCGCAACUUGUAAGACCUCUCUCGUUCUUUGCUUAUACUCAAUCGAGAUUUUAUUAAUCUUUACCCACAGAUACAAAUCGACACUUGUUUUCACGAUUUUAUUAUACAAUUUACACUCCCUAAUACCGUUCAUGGAAUAGUAAAAAGUGAAAAAAGAACUUUUUUUGUCUUAAAAAAGAAAAACUUGCAAAAACAGAUAACACAAACGCAAGAAGUAGAUGCCCGGUGAAACCACACAAUGGUGGUUAGGCAGAACAUAAUUACUUAAAUUUCAUAUUCAUAUUAAUUUCUUUUUAAGUAUCUAUAAAUGAUUAAUUAGAACUCAAUAAAUAAAAUAUUGAAUGACAAAAAAGACAUGGAAAAAUCACGAAUUUUGGUAGGAAUGCUUUCGCAAAAAUGCGCCCAUUUCAUUUAAUCUUUUAUUUUUGUCUUCAAAAUUUGUUGGUCUAUAAUUAUUUUUUUUUAUCCCAGACACUUAAAGUAAAAAAUAAAUAGUUGAAAAUGUCCGCAGCAAAAACAAAAAAUAUCGCAAAGAUAAUUUUUUGUUUUACAAGACAUAAAUUUAGUUGAAGUAUAUUAUGUCCAGGCAUAAGUCACGCGAUAUAAGUUACCCCUCAAGCAUAAAUUCAGUUGCAUUUAUAAAUUACGUCGUAAAAUAAGCCAAAUUAUUCCAAACACGAAAACUUUGGGGAAAAAAAAAUCAACUCUAAUACUACCCAGGACAAAAGUUUAGUGGCCCAAGUUAUAUCACAAGACAUACAAAAUAUGUUACAUAACGUCAAAUUUAUUAGAAAAGUUAUAUUACGAAUUUGAAAGAUAAAAACUAAAAAUUAUUAACCGAACUUAUUUUGUUACGGUACAAAUUCACGUAAGUGGAAUAUUGUUGUGGGCUUUAAUAGAACGAAGGUGAUACGAAAUAUAUUCCCCACAAUUUUGGUCCGCCCAUUAUUUUUCAUCACAUGUUUGUCGAGGGUAUAAAUUAUGAAGUAAUAAAGUAAUAAGCAAAAGGAGUUCAAAAACUUAAAAAGAUAAACUCCCCACGUGAAUUAUAUCACAUGUUGGGUUGGCCAUGGUAAUUUUCACCAUUCCAAAAGUUUCAAAAAGUUAAAAAAUAAAUUAUAAUUAUAAUAUAUAAAUAACAUAUUAUAAUUCACCAUUCGUAUAAAGAUUUAUUCAUUAUGAGUGUACAAAAUUAAAUAAGAAAUAACGAUUAAAUUUAAAGUACUAACACCAUUAUAUAUAUCAUUUUCGAUGUGAAUUUAUUUUUUGAUUUUUCAACAUGUUUUAGAUAAAAGGCUAAAUAUUUUUAGAAAUUUCAUAACAUUUUACUAAUAUUAUUAGAUUAGAGAGUAGAUUAAAUUAAAUAUUAAAAAAGUGUACUUUUGUAUAUGAUUGUGCUCAUCUAAUUUGUACGUGGGCCGAUAGCUCCAUGGGCCUACUAAUUUGGGCCGCCUACUAACCAUCCGUAAGCCAUUUCCACUUUUGUCUUAUUUUAUACUAAAAUCUUUAAUUUUUGCUCUCAAGACAAAAUAAUUUCUACUAAUUUUCACAUCAUUAAAUCCCACAAGUUACGUUCUUACUUCGAAACCAUGUUAAUUUUGUCCCUAUAAAACGAGAAUUUUCAUUAUUUUCCCUAUGAAAUCAUCUUUUAUCUCUAUUCUCUAUCUUUCUCUACGGUACUCUCUUCAUUCCAUCUUAAGUUAAUUUUUAAGGUAAGAAAAGUAGAUUAAGAUAUAAAUUAAACUUAGUUUUUUCAUUAUAAUCUUUAUUAACUAUUGUCAAAUUUAUUAUUAAAAUAAGUAAAUAUAAUUAAUCAUUAAUUCCAAUACUAACUAAUGAAGGGUAAUAUUGGAAAAACACUUUUAAAAUAGUUUGAAAACUUCACAAUUAAGUUAAUUUAAAAAAUAAAAAAUGUCUCAAAAAUUAACUUAAUAAGGAACGGAGGUAGUAUUAUUUUUCUUAGCUUUAUUAUUUUAUAAUAAACCUGCAAACAUCUUCACUAAAUCGGAACAUAGUUACUUGAAAUGAGAAACUUAAAUUUUAAAAAAGAUUCAUCACCGUUGAAGUCUGGUAGCGAAACUGGGAAGUUGGUACGGGCUUUGAUUCGAUCAUGUCUAGUUCAGAAAGAAACUUCAAUAUUCUUUAAGACUUGUAUGUGACUUCUUUUCCUUAACAAUAAAUCAUAAAAAAAAGGGCAGACCCUAAUUUUUCUUCGAUAGACGAAACAUCAAUAAGUAUAUUAUUAUGAUAUUACAAACUUAAACACAACACAAACAUAGAUUCAACAAGAUGAUAAAAUGUUUUUAUAGCUUAAAAGCUUACAACAAACAUCUUUACUAGCAAAUUGAAAAACCAUUAUUCCUUAUUAUGUUACUCUUAUGUUGAUAUUAUAGCAACAUAAAUCCCCUUAGGCCUUAAUUAUCAAAAGUUCAACUGAUCAUAUUUUGAGUUCCUGUCAGGGUAAAACAGUCCAAAAUGUCUCUCAGUUUCAUCCCCUCCUUUUCCUCUUUCAUCAAACAUUGCAAACAAAAAAGUCUCAAUUUCCCUUCCAGGCUUCUUUGGAGUGCCAUUUCCAACAUGAUUAAUCACAUUCGUGUAAUAAGUCCGCGCAUUAUCAGUAGUUGCAGCAGGGUGUCCAUAAGAAGGCCAACCUGUUUCCGAAACAACAAUUUCCACAUUAGGUGCACCAGAUUUCUCCAGAGCGUAGUACAUACUAUCGACUAACGCGUCAAAAAGAUUUUGGUAACCAGCUGAGUUUGUUCCUGAAUCUGUAAACAGGGCAUAGGAUAGCGGUAUAUCUUUCGUAUUAUAAAUGUAACUGAAAUACGGGUAAAUAUUUACUAGCAACGGCAAAUUGUUGUCUCUAAGAAGUUUCACUAUUGGAUCAGUGAAACCUCUCCAAUCAGGAUUAAACAUGCUGUUUUGUGGAGGCCAUGUAUUUGUUAACAAGGCUGAAUAUGUCGCGGUUGAGACUUUGAUUUGAUCUUGCAAUCCUGCUUCUACUAUCGCGUUAUGAACAUUUUCAAUAGCAGGACCAACAAAUGUAGCAAGUUGUACGUUCUUUAUUGGGCUGAUUUCAUUUCCAACCGCGAUAUACCUGAAUUUAACACUAGGGAAAUAGGCUUUUAUGUUAUUGUUUACCCAAUUUCUUGCUUGAUUUGGAUCUUGUGCUAGUGUUUUGACAUGUUCAUUUGGGACAUCAACAAGGACUUCAAUGUUACUUCCCCUUAGAGCAUUAUAAACAUUUGUGUCUGGAUAAUAAAUUCUUAUUUUAUUGAUACCAUUGGCAUGACAAUGAUUUACAACAUCAUAUUCUGAUGGCAAAUUAUCAGCCAUUCUUCCAUAACAUACCCCAACAGAGUAUACUCCUGCAAUAUUUGAAACAAUAAUUUAGCAAAAAAAAAAAAAAGAGAUCCAAAUUAAAUCUCAACUUAUUAUUAAUUUGUACUAGAUGUGACAUGAAUAGAUAAAAAUGACUUUUAACUUAUAUAUAUGUACAUCGGCAAACGUAAGGAAUUUCUAUCUUCGCUAUCUAGGUUGAGCCAAUCAUUUUUAAAAUUACAAAUCUCAUUUAAUUUUAAAUUUAAAAAUGAAAUGCUCCCUCCGUCGCGUUUUAUAUGUCAUGCCGUUCUAUAAUCAUAUAUUGCCUAUUAUAUCCUUGAUAGUAGUUAAUUAAUCUUGAAAAUAUAUUCAUCAUUUAUUAUAAAGUUGACUUAUGAAAACAUUAAAUAAGGAUAGAAAGGUAAAAUUAUAUCAUUUCUUAAUGCAAAUGCAUAAUAAAAAGAUGUCAUAUAAAAUAGGACGGAGGGAGUAGUGCUAAAACAUUAUUGAUGUAUAAGUUAAAAAGACCUAAUAAUAUUUUUAGAUCAUUAAAAUCUAAAAGCUAAGAUUCGUUACACGCUACAAUAAGUUAAUAUUUGACAUGAUAAUAUAUAAAAUAUUUAUAUAAAUGGUAUAUAUUGCUUAAACUCUAAUUAUAUAUAUAUCAAAAACAUUCACAAAGAAUAGAAUGAACCUAAAUGUUUUUUUUAAAAAUUUCAUAUAAAUUGAGACACAAGAAAUAUUUUGAGAGACCUGUUAUUUGGAGGCCACACAUUAAUAGUAUAAACAAUGCAACCAUAGGUACAAUAGAGAAACUCUUGGUGAAGAGAAAAAGAAGAGACAUUAUGAAAAUGUAACAAGAAAGUUUCAAAUGGAGAAUUAAUGUGAAUAACAUAAUCAAACAAUUGCUUCUUAUAUAGAGAAGAAGCACUAGAUUUAGAAGCAAAUUCUGGGAACCUAAAGUUACUAAUUUUCCAGUCAAGCACUGUCGAUAGUAGACCUACUAAAGACUUUUUCCAAACAAGUAAUGGAAAAAUAAAUGGAAAGACUGGAAAAUUGAGCAAAUUGCUGAAAUUUUAGUCAUCUAUAUUAAUUAUUAUGGGUCAUUAGGUGUGGCCAGUAAGAAGGCAACUUAAUUGUAUACUUCGGUUUAUUUUUUCUUGUUAAUUAUCCUCUGAGUAAUUUUUUUUACUUUUAAUGGUUACUAGUAAAAUAGUAUGUCAAUUGUUGUACCUUAAAAGAUAUGUCAAAGUCAAAUAUGACAAGUUAAAACGAAUGUAAGGAAUAUUGAUUUUUAUAUAGCAAAAAAAUAUUAAGUUAUUCAUGUAUAAAUUAAUAUAAUAUUUAUUUAGUAAUUUAGUAACUCGCAAAUAAUACAAAUAAUCAAUAGAUAUAUAUAAUUAAUAUCUAAUUCUAAGUUUAUAACUAAAUAUCAAAUGGCAUGUAUGUGUAGUGGUUGUUCUUGACUUGGAAAUUUUUCAAACUCACAGAAUAGUUUUUUACUUUAUAAUUAGGCUGGUUUCAUGAUACCCCCGGGUCAGCAGCUAACACUCAUUGAAUGAGAUCCUAUUAGAAUAAAGGGAAAAUUACGCAAUAAAUACUAUUUGAUUACUCAUCAUAGCUAUAGUUUGUUAUAAUUAUCAUUUGCGACUAAUUAUAUAUUAAUUAUGUGGAUUGACUUCAAAUUUUGUAUAAUUAGUCAUAUUUGUAUAAGUAUAAUUCGCCAGAAUAUAAAAAUACAUAUGUAUAAUAUACAAUUAUUCAACCUAUAUACAUAUACAAUUCAUCUCUGUCCCACUCUUUGCCCUCUCUCGUUCGCCUCUCUCCUCCCUCUCCCAAUCUUGUUUGCCCUAUAUACAAAUGUAUAUGUAUAAUAUACAAUUAUAUAUAUAUAUAUAUAUAUAUAUAUAUAUAUAUAUACACACACACACCCACACACACAAUUUACCUCUGUCCCACUCUCUACCCUCUCUCGCUCGUCUCUCUCCUUCCUCUCCCAAUCUCUCUUUUCAUAUAUACAAAUACAUAUGUAUAAUAUACAAUUAUCUAACCAAUAAACAUAUACAAUUCACCUUUCUCCCACUCUUUUCCCCUCUCUCUCACCUCUCUCUUCUCUCUCGCAGACUCGCUCGUUUCUCUCCUCCAUAUAACAUAUAGCUAAAAUUAUAAUUAUCAAACUAUGACUAUGAAGAGUAAUUAAUUAUUUUAAAGUGGAUAUAUGUGAAAGUUUUUCAAGAAUAAGUAAGCAUAACGACACACUAUUCCUACUACACAUAUAGUAUUGUUUUAUGAGUAAUUAUUAGUUGUGAAAUUAGAUUUUAGGCCUAAUUCAUAUUUCAAAAGUUAAUUUAGAGUAAGGAUGAUUGUACAAGUCUUCUAAGGAGUCCAUUUUUUCAUUAAUUAUUAAUAUAAGACUUUUGUCAUUCUUUAACAAUGAUCAAUCUCGUGCAGAAAUGAUGAAAAAUAUUUAGUACAAUCUCUUAAACUCCCCUCACACUAUACACAAAUAAGGGUAAAGCUGAAAUUUUAAUUACGAGUUUUCUAGAUUGGAGUUUUUGACUUAAAAGUGAAAAUUACGCAAUUAAAUAAGUAUGUACUAAUUAAUUAUUUAACAUAGCUAUAAUGAAGAAAUUACUUACCGCUAUUAACAUAUAACCUUAUGCAGAUUUUAAAAUUUGUAUGCUAAAUUAUAUAAAUUUUUAUAUGUUUACCCUAGCUUGCUGAUACAUUUGUUGAUUUAUUUGCUUCGUAUAAGUUAUAAAAAAAAAUCCUAAAUGUAUAAAUACUUAAUUUAUAUAUACUUUUUUUGUUUACAUAUUUUACAAAUAGAAUUACAUUAUAUAUAUUAACAAGCGAAUUAUACGAAAUAAAAUAAACAAAACAAACAAAAUUAUAACGAUGAAGCAUAAAUAGGGCUCCUAGUUAAAAAGAAUCUUACUAAAUUUAAUUUCUUUUAUAUGGAGUUCCCUUAAUAUUAUAUGUGUUAGAGAUAUCAAUUGUAUGUUUAAGAUACAAUUGAUAUUAUCCUUUUUAUUUUUCUCUGAAAAGAAGCAAAAAAGAAAAAGAAAAAAGAAACCUGUAAUAUGAUCUUUCCAGAAACAGCCACGUCAGUCAACUUGAUCAUCAACCGUCUAUCACACAUCCCUAUGCAAAAGAUCAUAUCCUACUCCACGUGUAUCAAUAAUAUUGCUUUCUCUCCUUUCAGUGGGUCCCUCUGCCUACUACUAUUUUUCAAUAAAGAAGUAAUUUCCCUUCUAAUCCUUCAACAAAUUCUUAUUAAUUGAAUUUCAUUUUGGUCCUUUGUGAACUUUGGGAAACAUAAUUUAAUCUUGAAAUCAUGAAAAUGCAUAUUUUGAUCUACAUAAAUAAUGGCUGUAUAUUAUUUUGUCUUUACAAUUCAAAUAUUAAGUAAUAGUACAUCCAAUAAUUAAUAAUCCGUUAAGUUUUGAGAAAAUUAUUAAAAAUAAUGUAUUACUAGUAAUUUUGUUUUUCAUGCUAUUCACAUUUUUUAAAAUAUAUUUUUUUAUUUGACUAACUAAAUUUAGAUAUCGCCUGAUCUGCUACAUGAUAUAAUUAGUUGUUUCAGUCUCUUAAUAAAAAACUGAAAGAAGUAUUGAAAACAGUCUUAAAUUUGACGAGAAUUUAGAAAUGUAUUUCACUCAUGUUACAGAAUUAAAAAUAUAUUUAGAUUCAAUUAAUCAUAUAAAUAAACACUUUUUAAAGGUAUCAAUAAUUUAAAAAAUUAAACUAACAAUUCACGUUAAAUUUAUAAUUUUUUUUUUUUAAAAAAAGUUUUUGAAUAUGUAGAAGCAAAAAUAAUAAACAUGCAAAAGCAGGACUAAAAGAAAAUAUUUUCUAAAUAUAAAGGUUCAAAGUUCAAACUAGAAAUGGAAGGAUUUAAGGGCAAAAUGGUAAAAGAAGUGGUUGAUAUUGCUACAGCCGCACGUUAAUUGUAUGAUCCGUAAUCAAAUUUAAUUUGAAAAGGGUAAGAAUAAGAUAUUAAAUUUGGGAUUUUUGGUCCUUAGAAUUUUGGGGAAAGUGGAAAUGGGUAGGGCCUUUGUGUAUGUAAUAUUGGGAGGAGGAGUUGCUGCUGGUUAUGCAGCUCAUGAAUUUGUUAAACGAGGUGUCUCUCAUGGCGAACUAUGCAUCAUCUCUGAAGAACCUGUAAAUAUUACUUCUCUUGUAUUACUUGAUUCCUUACUUUUUUUUUCCUUCUUCGAGCUCAGUUUCAGCAUUCUUUUGAUGUUUUUAUCUUCUUCUUGUUCUUUCUUUAUCUGUGUGUUGCUGCUUAUUUAUUAUAAAACGUUGUAAAUGUUCAAUUUUGUGAAUUCUUAUGCGUGUAAUCCAAUUUGAGUAGGUUUUUUCUUAUCUGAGCUGAAUUUGGGGUUUUGUGAUGACUUUUCGAGUCUAGAAUAAAGUUUAAUUUAUAAUCACAUUGAAACUGUAGCUUCUACAUAGUUUUAGGAGGAACGUAGUGAUACUUGAAUUGGUAGGAUGAAUCCCAAAAAUCUGUUCUGAUUCCAAUAACACUGUCACAUGAUAGAAAUGCUAAUAAUCUGUAGAUCUGAUAUUGAGUUUUUAGUGCAUACCGCCUACUUGUGAAGUGCUGCUGGAAUGGUUAUUUCUUUUUCCUGUUCCUCCCUCUCCUCAUUCAUUUUCUAGGAGGCAAAAAGAUGCAUAAACUUAUCAAUUUAUUUAUCUCUGAUCCAAUUUAAUGUCAUUAGAAAUAAUAAAGAUCAUAGCUUCGAGUAAUCUGCCUCUUUUAUCUAUCUUGAUCUUUUACCUUCCUUGAGUUAAAACUAAUGUCAUUAACAAAGGAAGACCAAAAUUCAUCAGAUGCUUCCUUAUGGAGACAAUCAUUCAAUGGAUGGGUAACACAUGAUGGCUCUCUCUUGUUUGAGCUUCCUGAAGUUUCCUACCUCAUCUUCUAAACUUCUGCUGUUCUUUUCAGGUUGCUCCUUAUGAACGACCUGCAUUAAGCAAGGGUUAUUUACUACCAGAAGGUAUCUCCCAGUCACCUCACCCCUGUUCAGAUUUUUGUCUUAGACAUCUUCCAAGUGGAUGUUAAUGCUUUCUUUAGAUUUAAAGAUAAGUUUUAUUGUGCACUGUAACUUUGGGGAAAUAUCCUACAAGCAUUAAUGGUGGAAUAAUCCCUGGCUCUAGUUACAGUCACUUAACAAGAGUUAUCUGGAUGAAUUGUUUCUUCUUUUCUCUCCUUUGUUCAUUAUUUUUUAACCUUUUGAGAUUUUAUUCUAUGCAGAUCCUGCACGUCUGCCUGCUUUUCAUUGUUGUGUUGGUUCAAAUGAGGAAAGGUUGACACCGAAGUGGUACAAGGAAAACGGUAAAUUUUAAAUAUCUUUUGCUUCCAUUGGCUUUAAAUAUUUUAGCAGGCGUCAUUGUAAUUGAUCAAUUUUUAUUUAUGGUUGUCAUAGAUAUAUUUAGAAUUGUCCAAAGUGAGCAUUGCAGUUACUGACUGCCUUGAACGUAUAAAUGUUAUUGAAUUACUUGCAUAGAGGUUUCACACUAUGUGUUAUUCUAUUGUAGUUGAUGUUGCAGCAUCAUUUUGUUGUUGGCAUUUGCUUAAGGAAUUAAAAAAUCCAGAAGUAAUCACAUAUACUUGACGACAUGCCCAUACACCUCAUUUAAAAAAUGUCUGAAGGAUUACAAAUUAAGAGCUUAACUGGACUGUUCCAAUUAGUUUAAUUCAUCACAUAUGGAUGUCUUCAGGGUCAAGUUUGAUGUUUGUCUCACCUUUUGUAUGACUACCUAUUGAGAGGAUAGUUGUUUCAUAAAAGAAGAAAAAGGAUUAACCUUUUCAUUCAGAAGGUCAUCUUUGCUUGAUGUACUAGAAACCUUGUUAUAUAGGAAGACCAUGAACUAUUUCCUGAUAUUUAAUAUCUUCUUACGUUUCAUGUUUAGCCAACAUUUUGAAAGAUUAGAAUCAGGGGAAAAGAUUUUGAGACUGAGAUCCAUGCUUUUCUUGGGCUGUAAUUAGCUGCAGCAAUACUGGUUUUUAAAUCACGUAAAAUGAAGCUUCAAUAGCCAUAGUCAUCAUAAGGUUUUGGAAUUGAUCUCUUUUCAUGGAAUGCACUAGCUGGGAACGGCAACGAAAAAAUGCUGCUGGUAUAUGGCAUCAGUGAUCAGAAUAUGUUAUUAUGUUGAGCUAUUUCUUUUUUUUUUUGGUUACUUUUUAGUGCAAAAGAAUGAGGUAUUUAAUAUCUUUCCAAGGAUAUUGAUUAGUCAUUGAUUGUUCUAUUGCCUUUAGGCAUUGAGCUGGUCCUUGGAACUCGUGUAAAAUCAGCUGAUGUGAGAAGGAAGACAUUGUUGACCGCAACCGGUGAAACCAUAACCUACAAGAUUCUCAUAGUGGCAACUGGUGCUCGGGUAUCUAAUUUAUCUUCGGGCUCUUCUGCUGUAGCACCAUAUUUUGUUGCAUUUUUUAUGCAUCAAGACAUUAGAGUAGUGUCCUCUUCUGAUGGAAUGAAUAAGCAGGGGCAAAUGCAACUUCAAGUUACUGGGUUCGGAUCCAGUACUUUUGAUGUAGAACAUAAAGUUAUUUGCAACAAAUUGUAGAUGUGAACCCGUAACUUCAAAAAUAUAAUGAGUUCAAUGCUAAGAACCCUUGUGCGUUCUACCCUAAAGGUUCUUAGCAAUGUAAUUUUAUAAGUGGGGUCUUGAGAGGGUAGAGUGUAUGCAAAUCUUACCCCUGCCUCUUUAUCUUUACGAGGUAGGGGUAAAGUAUGCGUAUAACCUACCCUCCCCAGACCCCACUUGUGGGAUUACAGUGGGUAUGUUGCUUGGUUCUUGAGAACCUUAUAGGUGCAGCCCUCCUGGAUCUGUCUCCGUUAAUAAGGUCUAGAUACUUCCUUUAAGUGAUUUCCCAGAGAAGUCAGUGGAUACUGAAAUACAAUUCUGCUGUACCAGCUAGGAAAGAAAAUGAAAAUUCUGUUGUUUCACAAUACCUUAGCUUCUUCACACUAUUGUGCAGGUGAUUUUUAUAGUUUGUUUAUAUCUGUUUUAUUUCUUGGUUCCUCUCCAUAGGGACCGUGAAAAUAAUGUUAAGAAUUAGUAGCAUAAAAAUUGCCCAUACAAUCAUUUUGAUAUGUAUCCUGCAGAAACUAGGUGUCAAGCUUGUUAGCAUAGAUGUUAGGAUUCAUGGACAUUCAGAUGAGUAGAGUUCAUUUAGUUCAGUACUAGAAUUUUGAAACAGAGUUAAAUUAAUUAGUGCGCUCUGAGGGUUCAUGCCAAAAGCUUUAUUUGGUGUGGACUAAGUUCAAUCUCAAAGACCAAGCUCCCUAGUGAACAAUGAAAUUGAAUUUUAUGAAGUCUCUGACUUUUGGUUGGCAUGUUUUGUUAGGCUUUGAAGCUUGAAGAGUUUGGAGUGAGUGGCUCAGAUGCUGAGAGUGUAUGUUAUUUACGGGAUUUGGCUGAUGCAAACAGGCUGGUUAAUGUGAUGCAAUCUAGCGGUGGUGGCAAUGCUGUUGUAAUUGGUGGUGGCUACAUAGGAAUGGAAUGUGCUGCUUCUUUGGUGAUCGGCAAAAUAAAUGUCACCAUGGUCUUUCCAGAAGCACACUGUAGUAAGUAUUCUUUUGUGAAGAUGGAAAGCUUUCGUUUCUUUUUUUAACUCGAGUUUCUUUAGGUUGCUUGUAAAUUAUAUUCUUUUGUGAAGUUGGAGAACUUUCUUUUCUGUUUCUUACUCGAGUUUCUUUAGAUUGCUUGUAAUAUAUCAGAAGUAAGAACUGUGUUUUCUCCUCUCUAGAGAAUUAUGUAUUAGUAUAACUUUAGUAGUUGCGUUUUAUCCAGAAAAUACAAACCACAAUCUGAAAUCUAGUACAUGCCUUACUCUCCAAACCAUGCUAUUAGUACAGAAAACAGUGAUCUCAGUAAUCAACAAAUGCUAUAAAGAUAUGAAAAUUGAUCAGAAUGUGGGACUUCUGCCCUCAUAUUUCCUCAAAAUAUGAAAUCAUCGAUUGAAAGCUUAUGUAUGAGAAAAACUGAUUUGUUUCUUAAUUCUCAAAACCCAAAGUCCAAGAGUUACUUACAGAUAUAAACCAUAAAUGUGCAACCAUUGCUGUUCUAUCUUAAGUUCAUCAGUAAACAAACUGUUGUUUUUUCUAAUGAUUUUAUAAAGCAUUUAAUUUUCUUCCCUUUUCUUUUGUUGUUAGUGGCCCGCCUAUUUACUCCUAAAAUUGCAAGUUUCUACGAAGAAUUUUACCGGUCAAAAGGAGUUAAGUUUGUGAAAGGCACGGUCUUGACAUCAUUUGAUUUCGACUCCAAUGAUAAGGUAAAGCCUGUUGCUUGCUUCACUUUGGUGGUGUUUUCUUUGAAAGCUGUUCGCAGACGUGUUUGUUUGAACUGCUUUUUCAUUUACCUCUUCUUGAACAUUUCCAACCUCAAUUUCACUAGGUACUUUGUUAAUGCAAACUCAGUUUAUUAGUUUCUGAAAACAGCUUCUAUUUGUUAUCCUUUUUUAUUUGAAUAAGAAAAGGUUAACUUUUACUGAAAGAGUGAAUAUUCUUGAACUCCGUUUAACAAGUCACUUUGUUAAGCUGGAACUAACAUUAAUCAUCAUUUCACAAUUUUAUAUAUCACUGAAGUUAUAAUGGACAUGAUGCUUGAAUGCGGGGACCUUUUAUGUAGAUGACUGCGGUGAAUUUGAGAGAUGGAACCAAGCUACCUGCUGACAUGGUCAUCGUAGGCAUUGGAAUUCGACCAAAUACCAGCCUCUUUGAAGGGCAACUUACUCUUGAGAAAGGAGGGAUAAAAGUCAAUGGCCAAAUGCAGUCAAGCAACAGCUCAGUCUAUGCUGUUGGGGAUGUUGCAACUUUUCCUGUCAAAAUUUUCGGUGAGACGCGGAGACUUGAACACGUUGAUUCUGCAAGGAAGUCAGCAAGGCAUGCAGUUGCUGCAAUCAUGGAACCAGAGAAAACAACAGAGUUUGACUACUUGCCAUUCUUCUACUCCAGAGUCUUCACACUCUCUUGGCAGUUCUAUGGUGACAGUACUGGUGAUGUAGUCCAUUUUGGGGAUUUCUUGGGGAAUAGCUUUGGUGCAUAUUGGGUGAACAAAGGUCACGUCGUUGGGUCUUUUCUAGAGGGUGGAACCAAAGAGGAGUAUGAGGCUAUUGCAAAGAUCACAAGGCUCAAACCAGCAAUUGAGGACUUGUCUGAUCUCGAAACGCAGGGUUUAGGAUUUGCAUUGACAUUGAGUGAUAAACCAGAGCCAUCGGAGGCUGUUGUUGUCAGCAGUAGUUCGGGUUCCACUUUUGUAACAGAGAAACCUUUACAUGUUUGGCAUGCAACAGCUGGAGUCAUUUUGGCUGCUUCAAUUGCUGCCUUUGCAUACUGGUAUGGUAGGAGGCGUAGAAGGUGGUAAAUGUCUUGUUCCCCACGGAAGAUUUUUACACGUCGAUUCCUGCUGUGUUGUAUGAUUUUAGCUUAGAGAAUUUGAAAUACUUGGCCUGUAAAUGGCUUCAAUUUUACAAACAUGUAUUCUGUCUUUACAGUAUAUAUCAAUACACAUUAUCCUCAAUCCCUCAGCAUGCUCUCUUUAUGUUCAAAUUGCUUAUGUUUUGACAGUAGAUAUUAAUUGGAGGAACCUUAAAAUGACAAGGAAGAAAAUCAAUGCUAUUGGUGGAUACUCUUGAAAAAUUGGAGCUUAAUAUCUCAGAUUAUUAGUCUCAACCUAUCAAUUAAACGACUCCAAAAUGGUACAUUCAAGUUAGAAGAGAAACAGACGUGUCACCAUUUUAAUUUAGACAUAAUACAUAAAUGUGUCAAUUAACUUGAUUUUAACAGAUAUGUAUGAUUUUCAACUUUGGUUGCAAUUUAGAGUUGUAUCAGUUGAACAACUAUACAUAUAUGUCUAAUAUGAUGUUCUACGUGACAAUUCAUGUUUUGUGUGUAUUAUAUACACAAAACACAUGUGUCUAUUUGUUUAAGUUGUGAAAUGCAGCCACCAUGAAUCUAUGCCAUCGAUUUAGGGCUGAGCUAAAGGUAGCAUGAACUAAAAUGGUGAAGAAAGCAAUUUACAGAAGGAAGAAAAAUAGGGAGAAUCUUAUUCCACAGAAUCAUACAAAAUUACACAGAAAUUGAUACAAGGCUAUAUAUAUAUAUAUACACUGCUAACUCUAACCGAAGGCUCAAACAUUCUUUCCUCGCUCAUUGCUGUUACUAUCUAUCGAAGUAAUUCUACAUAAGUUAGUUACACUUUAAAUAACUGCCACGUCACUAGGCUCAAUAUAAAUUUAUAUAAGUUUGAGUGUCAAUAUAUGCAUACCUAAAGUUGAAGUGCGUACAUGUCUACUACAAGUAAAUUAAAUGAUAUAUUUAUUAUUAUCCUAUAAUUAACUCAUGAGAGCACAUGAAUUUCAAAGCAGGGCAUUUGGUCUAGUGGUAUGAUUCUCGCUUUGGGUGCGAGAGGUCCCGAGUUCGAUUCUCGGAAUGCCCCGCUCUUUUUUAUAGUAAUUGCAGUUUUAAAAUCAGUAUUAGUAAGGUUUAUAUAAUCUAAAAUAGUAUUAUUAUUAGCGUAUAAUUCGCUAUACAUAUACAAGUGUAUAAUUCGCUGGCCUAUUUCGCUGCAAUUGUAUAAUUUGCUUUGCAUAUAGUUGAAUCGAAUUAAAAUUAUAUAUAUUUUUCUCGCUUUAUACAAAUUGUAUUUCACUGCAAUUGUAUAAUUCGUUGGUCUCAGCAAUUUUUGAAGUAAAAUGUUUGUAAAUUGUAUAAUUAAGUGUAUAACACGAAGAUAUACAUUUUUGCAUGUGUAUAUAUACAAUUUUCUCUCGCUUUAUACAAAACAGAAACAGAAUUAUACACUUCUGUGUAUAAAGCGAGAAUGGAGAGUGGCGAGCGAGAUUCCUAGGAGAGAGACGCUGGCAAAUUUUAAAUAAUUUUGCUAUGGAGCACAAUUAAAUCAAACCUUAACUAUUAUAUUUAAUUUAGGUUAUUAAUUUGCUAUUUUAUACGAUUUUUCAAAAAAAAAAAACAGGGAACUACAUAUUGACCUUAUCAACACAAUUUUUCAAUCCCCUUAUCCUAAUUUUUGUAUCUCCCUCUUUCACUCUCCCAAUUUCUCUUUAGCUCAGCUACAAUGGCUUCCACAUUAUCCACAAUUACCCUUCGUUCUCCCUCUCCUAUUUCUCCAGCAACCGCAAGCUCCACGCACGCUUCAAUUUCCUUCCCCACCAAAACCCUAGAACUUCCCAUUCGCACUCCCAAACUGUACCACCGCCGGGCAACUCUCGUCCGCCCUCUCGCCGCCGUCGAAGCACCGGAGAAGGUAGUCCAGCUCGGAGAUGAAAUCUCCAACUUAACCCUCGCUGAUGCCCAGAAACUCGUCGAGUACCUUCAGGAUAAGCUUGGAGUUUCAGCCGCAUCCUUCGCUCCCGCUGCCGUCGUCGCUUCCCCUGGUGGCGCAGCCGCAGAUGCUCCAGCUGUGGUUGAGGAGAAGACGGAAUUUGAUGUAGUCAUCGAUGAAGUGCCGAGUAAUGCUAGAAUUGCGACCAUUAAGGCUGUUAGGGCUUUAACAAGUUUGGCAUUGAAAGAGGCUAAGGAAUUGAUUGAAGGAUUGCCUAAGAAAUUUAAGGAGGGUGUUUCCAAGGAUGAGGCUGAAGAUGCUAAGAAACAACUUGAAGAAGCUGGUGCUAAAGUUUCUAUUGCUUAAACAAAUUUGUGGUAAAUGUUCGUUCUUAGUUGUGUUUUCGCAAGAGAAUUCAGUUGUUAGAUAUACUUGUACUCAAUUUUCUCAAAUCAAGUUUUUUCAGUCGUCUUUGCUUAUGAUUUGUGAUUGUUCCAGUUUUAAUUGUUAGUGUGUUUGUUGUUUGAUGACUUGGUCUCACAAUCAGGCAGGCGAGCAGACAUAAUCUUAGCUUGAGCCUACUGUCGCACACCUCUGUUGAGUGUUAAUAAUGUGAGUGAUAUAACUAAUUGGGAUCACUCUAUGCUUGAAUUAUGAUCCAAAAAUUAUUGGUUCUUAUGUUGAUCAAUCUCAACAAUAUGCAACUCCACUGUAUAAUAUGAGUUAGGUUAUCUCAUUUUGGUCAUGAAAAAUAAGCUGAUAACUGAAAUGCAAUCAACUGUUGAACCAUGUGACCUCUCUGUACUCUGCUAUAGUGCAAAGAUCACAGGGCUUAAACCAGCAAUUGAGGGCUAUGGAUUUCGCAUUGACAUUGAGUAGUUAAGCACAGCCAUCAGAGGCUGUUGUUGUCAGAUUCCAGUCUUGUACAUGCUUGGCUGCAUCAAUUGAUGCUUUUGCAUACUAUAUUGUUGAAGAAGCAUUUCCCCUACAACAUUUUACACAUCAAUUCUAGUUGUGUCGUAUUAUUUUAGCUUUUACUUAAUUCGGAAUACUUAGCCUGAAAUGGCUUACAAAUAUGUGUUGUCUUUUAGGGGAUAUAUCAGUAUCCCCAGAAUGCUCUCUCAUGUCCAUAAUGCUUAUGACACUGGUAGCUGUAAUAGGAGAAAAAGGCAGCUUCAAAAUGUCUGUGAAGAAAGUAGUGAAUUCAUGCAUUUUUUGUUUCAACGUCAGGCAGGCAUUUUGAAUGCUAAAUCUCAUACUUGAAAAGGAAAAUUCUAGUUUGAAGUGAAUAGCACUUAAACCUGUGACCAAUUGACCAUUUCAAUUUGGAACUUGGUAUAAAUACAAUACUAUCUGCAAGAUAGUUCUUUUUCUCUAGUAAAGAUGAUAGUUUAAGGAUGGGAAUAUAUCUCAUUUGCUCCAAGAAGAUUUUGCAGCCCCCUUUCAUUAGGAAAUCAUUAAGGUUUUACGAUAAAUAUAAAUAGUACUCCCUCCGUCCGGUAUUAUUUGUCAUGAUUUUUAUUUUUAGAGUCAAACCACAAAAAUUUUGACUAACAAUUUAAGAUGUAUUUUGCGAUCAUAUUAAUAUGCAAAAAAUUAUAAUUUGUAGUAUUUUUUAAUAUAGUUUUAAAAUAUCUAAUUUUUUGGUUCAAACUAUCGAAUUGUGAUCUUAUUUACCUUUAAAAAUUAGUCAAAUUAAUUUUCGAUAAAUACAAUAUGACAAACAAUUUCGAAUAAAUAAUUCUGAACGGAGAAAGUAGUCUAGAACUAUGAGUACACGAAUAUCGAAGCAGGGCAUUUGGUCUAGUGGUAUGAUUCUCGCUUUGGGUGCGAGAGGUCCCGAGUUCGAUUCUCGGAAUGCCCCGCUAUUUUUUUUUAUAUUUUGGAACACCACUAAAAAUAUAUAUAUCUAAUUUGGUACUUAGGAUCGAAAGAAAAAUAUAUAUUUAAAUCUUCUUAAUUUCAUAGAUAUGUAAAUUAGUGAGGUUAACGUUCUUCCAGCAUCUCAUUACAUAAAGAUGAGCCCCACCCACCCAAUUAGAGGCUCCGAGGAAUUAAUAAAUCAACAGAAAAAGCUCAAAAAUAUCUUAAAUUAUUUUUGAAAUAGUUUAUACUUACUUUUAAAUUAUAUUUCGAUUUAAAUUAUCCUUCCCAUCAUACUAUUGAUCAAAAUAUCCUUCUUGUUAACUGAAAAUAUUAAAUGUCACAUGUCAUGCCACGUACAUACCACAAUUUCAUUCAUUCCACAUAGACUAAUAUUCUUAAUCCCACUUUUUUCCCUCAUUUCUCAAUUUCCAUUUGAAACCAAUUUCACGCCCCCAUUUCCCCUCAUUUCUCCAUUUCCCUUAGAAACGAUUUCAUUCAUUUCCCAAAAAUUUCACUCAUUUCUCCAUUUCCCUUAGAUGGAUUAAAACUUAUUUGAAAUCAUUUAUGUUGGAGAGUCCUAACUAGAAAGUAAACUCUGUAAUGGAAAAAGAAGUUAGUUUUCAGUAUUUUCACACUGUAAAUGGAUAGAUGAUAACAGAAUUUCAACUGAAAAUAGAAGUAAAACCUAGAGAUUUAAUGUCUUACUUGACUCUAGGAAACUUGAUUAUUACUUCUCAGGAAAAUUUUAAAAAUAUGAGAAAUUUUGUGAGGAAUUUUCAUGAAUUGCACUCUACAUAGUUAGUUAUAACUAUUCUAGACAGUUACAUCAAUGUAAAUGAAUUAUCCAGUAACAUUAUUCACUAUAGUUUGAAAAACAAACACUUGCCAUUACUCAAUCCACUAAGCCAUGAAAUUGAACAUGUAAACAGAAAUAAGCUAAAACUAAGACAAUGUUACUGCAAUGAGUGGAAAAUUAGGGAGAUGGAUUAAAUCAUUUAUAAGGGAAUUAGAGAAAUGAGGGGGAAAGGGGUGGGUGAAAUGGCGGCUUCAAAUGGAAAUUGAGUAAUGAGGGGAAAAAUUUGGGAUCAGGAGUAUUCGUCUAUAUGGAAAUGAAUGAAAUUAUUGUGCUUACGUGCAUGUCGGUAUUUAUCAGUUUCAGUUAAUAAGAAGGGUAUUUUUGAUUCAAUAGUAUAAUCAAAAGGAUAGUUUUGAAUCGAAAUAUAGUUUAAGAAUAUAUAUGAGCUAUUUCAAAUAGUUUAAAGGUAUUGUUAAGCCUUUUUCGUAAAUCAAAUAAUAUUCAACGGAGAGCCUUAGUGAUUACUUUCUCCGUUUAAAAAAGAAUGUCCAUAUUUCUUUUUUAGUUUGUUUAAAAAAGAAUUACCCCUUUCCUUCUUUGACAAUAAUUUAACUUUAACUUUUCACAUGUCAUGUUUAAGAACACAAGAUUAAAGGACACUUUGAUACAUUUACAUAACUUUAAUUUAGACACAAAAUUAAUAAAAUCUUUUUUUUUUCUUAAAUUCUAUUCCAUAUCAAACUAUAUCAUAUUUUUAAAAUGGAGGAUGUAAUAUAUAUACUAUUAAUUUUUUUUUAAAACAGGUAAAUAAGAGAGAGAAAAUCUCUCAAAUUCACAUUCUUGUGGAGUUUCCAAGGUUGGAUUUUUUAAAGAAAUUAUUACUACAGCGAAAUAGUAAUAUUAGUGUUUAUUAUAAAUAUUAAAUUAUUUUAGUUUAGCUUAGUUUAUAUCUCUAAAAAGUAAAAACCUACGAAGAGCCUGUUUGAAUUGGUGUUUAGUUUGACUUAUUUUUUUUUAAUCAUUUUAGUUUAAUUUAGCUCGUUAAAAAUAAGUGAAUCAGGCCCUCACUAAAUUUCUUUUUUCUCCAAUAAAAUUUCAAUAAUAAUGGAUUAAAAUAAAAAAUAAAAAAUGAGACCCUAUAUAUAACCUUAUCAACACAAUAUUCAUUCCUCUUAUCCUAUUUUUUCUUGCUCCCUCUUUCAUUUCCUCUCCUCAAUUUCUCUUUUGCUCUGCUACAAUGGCUUCCACAUUAUCCACUAUUGCCCUUUGUUCACCUUCUCACAUUUCCCCCUCCACACACGCUUCAAUUUCUUUCCCCACCAAAACCCUACAACUCCCCAUUCGCACUUCCAAACUCCACCACCGCCGAGCCACUUUUGUCCGCCCUCUCGCCGCCGUCGAAGCACCGGAGAAGGUAGUCCAGCUCGGGGAUGAAAUCUCCACUUUAACCCUAGCUGACGCCCAGAAACUGGUUGAGUACCUUCAGGAUAAGCUUGGUGUUUCAGCCGCAUCCUUCGCUCCUGCUGCCGUUGUCGCUGCCCCUGGUGGCGCAGCCGCAGAUGCUCCAGCUGUGGUUGAAGAGAAGACGGAAUUUGACGUAGUCAUCGAUGAAGUGCCGAGUAAUGCUA